GUGGGGGAUAACCAUUGGAAACGAUGGCUAAUACCGCAUAACGUCUACGGACCAAAGAGGGGGACCUUCGGGCCUCUCGCUUCAGGAUAUGCCCAGGUGGGAUUAGCUAGUUGGUGAGGUAAUGGCUCACCAAGGCGACGAUCCCUAGCUUGGUCUGAGAGGAUGAUCAGCCACACUGGAACUGAGACACGGUCCAGACUCCUACGGGAGGCAGCAGUGGGGAAUAUUGCACAAUGGGCGCAAGCCUGAUGCAGCCAUGCCGCGUGUAUGAAGAAGGCCUUCGGGUUGUAAAGUACUUUCAGUCGUGAGGAAGGC
Molecule: ribosomal RNA, 315 nt
Filed under: Vibrio breoganii
Lineage: Bacteria; Pseudomonadati; Pseudomonadota; Gammaproteobacteria; Vibrionales; Vibrionaceae
Description: bacterial SSU rRNA
Rfam family: Bacterial small subunit ribosomal RNA
Source: RNAcentral